This 301-nucleotide ribosomal RNA is filed under the name uncultured bacterium. RNAcentral describes it as "partial 16S ribosomal RNA". It matches the Rfam family "Bacterial small subunit ribosomal RNA", at positions 509 to 807 of the family's 1533-position model. The record is from RNAcentral.
CAGUCGCCGCGGGAAUACGGAGGGUGCGAGCGUUAAUCGGAUUUACUGGGCGUAAAGCGUGCGUAGGCGGCUAAUUGAGUCGGAUGUGAAAUCCCCGAGCUUAACUUGGGAAUUGCAUUCGAUACUGGUUAGCUAGAGUGUGGGAGAGGAUGGUAGAAUUCCAGGUGUAGCGGUGAAAUGCGUAGAGAUCUGGAGGAAUACCGAUGGCGAAGGCAGCCAUCUGGCCUAACACUGACGCUGAGGUACGAAAGCAUGGGGAGCAAACAGGAUUAGAUACCCCGGUAGUCCCUGUCUCUUAUAC